Molecule: ribosomal RNA, 530 nt
Filed under: Marsenia cf. gemma GF-2022
Lineage: Eukaryota; Metazoa; Mollusca; Gastropoda; Littorinimorpha; Velutinidae
Description: partial large subunit ribosomal RNA
Rfam family: Bacterial large subunit ribosomal RNA
Source: RNAcentral
AUGGCUCUUUGGUAAUAUCUUAUGAAGAGUCUAGCCUGCCCAGUGAUUAAAUUUAACGGCCGCGGUACUCUGACCGUGCGAAGGUAGCAUAAUCAUUUGUCUUAUAAUUGAAGUCUAGAAUGAAUGGUUUAACAAGAGUAAAGCUGUCUCUAUAUAUUUUAUAUAAUUUUAUGAUUAAGUUAAAAAGCUUAAAUUAAAUUAAAAGACGAGAAGACCCUAUCGAGCUUUAGGAAAAUAAUGAAUUUUUUAACAUUGAUGAAUACUAAAUAUUUAAUAAAACUUUAGUUGGGGCGAUUCAGGAACAAAUAAAGCUUCUUGUCAGUAAGUUAAAUUGAUAGAUAUAGGAUCCAUAAUUUAUGAUCAAAAGAAUUAGUUACCGUAGGGAUAACAGCAUUAUCUUUUUUGAGAGCUCAAAUCGAAAAAAAUGUUUGUGACCUCGAUGUUGGACCAAGAUAACCUAAAAGUGUAGAAGUUUUUAAGGGUUGGUCUGUUCGACCAUUAAAAUCUUACGUGAUCUGAGUUCAGACCGG